CUGGGGGAUGAUUUAAUCACCAAUGGCCGAUGAUUUAAUCAACCAUGCCUAUGUGAUGAAGCCUCCAGAAAAAAAGCCUAACCAAAGGGGUUCAGAAAGCUUCUGGGUUGCUGAACACCUCUAGGUGCUGGGAAGGGGAUGCUCCCAGAGAGCAUGAGGGAGCUCUGUGCCCCUUUCCACAUACCUUGCCUAGGCCUUUCUUCCAUCUGGUUGUUCCUGUGUUGUAUCCUUUAUAACAAACCUGUAAUCUAUUCUAAUGAGUGAAAACAUAUGACCUCGAGGGAUUGGACAGAGGACAGCUAAAUUUUGACUGUAUAGAAGUGGAGAGGUCAGAAAGAACGGGACAUUGCUUUGAGGGAAGAGACAGUAGAAGACACUUCAGCAAGGCUUCAAAUGGACUGGUGAUAUUGGUGAUAUUUUAACUUUUGACAGAUACUGAUAUCUACCUCUAGGAAAAUAGUGGUCCCGAUUUACAGAGGAAAAGACCAGUGAUAAUUUUCUUUCUGCCAUUUUACCCUCCUAUGGUAGUCUACUGUCUUGACAUCUCUUGAUUCAAAAAGUUGGCAUCAUGGAAGAAGCUAAAAUUUCAUCUUUGGUUACAAUGCCUAAAUAAAAAGUGGGAAACUAUGAAUGGUUAAACCAAGUCACCGAAGAAAGAUUCUUUCAAAGAGGAUUCUUUUGUUGAUGAAAAACAGAUCUUUACUCAUGGUGGCUUCAAUCCUUCUGUGUUUAGUAAUUUAUAAUUGUAAGAAGAUUGGUAGUGAUUUUCCAGACACAUAGGGCGCUGUUGGUAAAAAUGGAGAGGUGGGGUUAGGUUUGAGGUCUGUUAGGAAACAGAAAUUUGUGACUCACUGAAGAAACUGAACAACAGCAACAUAGUGUUGAAAGUACCCAAUGUGAGAUAUAAGAUCAAAGGUGCUAACCCCUCCAGGCUGAACAGAGCCUCCCCUCACCACAAAAUGUUCAAUAGUGUUCUAGAUUGUUUGGUUUUGAUUUUAAUAUCCUAAUGAAGGCCUAAUGAAACAAGAAUACCUCUACUUCAUCACUUUGGGUCUCAUUAUACGGUGAAGACUCUCCAGUUGUCCGAAUGUGUGAAAUCAAAUAUUACCACCUGACACCAGCUAUUGUGAAAAGCUUUACAUAAAAUGAGAUGAAUAGCUCCU
Long non-coding RNA from Zalophus californianus (California sea lion), 1163 nucleotides. RefSeq lists it as uncharacterized. NCBI's taxonomy places the organism in Eukaryota, Metazoa, Chordata, Mammalia, Carnivora, Otariidae. The transcript is spliced from 6 exons. The record is from RefSeq and is a predicted model, not a curated record.